GUACCCUCAAGCUCUGCUUGGUGUUGGGCGUUUGUCCCGCGUUUUCCGCGUGGACUCGCCUUAAAACAAUUGGCAGCCGGCAUGUUAGCCUGGAGCGCAGCACAUUUUGCGCCUCUUGUCUCUCUUGUUGGCACCCAUCAAGCCCAUUUAUUUGC
Molecule: unclassified non-coding RNA, 155 nt
Filed under: uncultured Leptosphaeriaceae
Lineage: Eukaryota; Fungi; Ascomycota; Dothideomycetes; Pleosporales; Leptosphaeriaceae
Description: partial internal transcribed spacer 2
Source: RNAcentral